Molecule: ribosomal RNA, 253 nt
Filed under: uncultured bacterium
Lineage: Bacteria
Description: partial 16S ribosomal RNA
Rfam family: Bacterial small subunit ribosomal RNA
Source: RNAcentral
UACGGGGGGGGCAAGCGUUGUUCGGAAUUACUGGGCGUAAAGGGCUCGUAGGCGGCCAACUAAGUCGGAUGUGAAAUCCCCAGGCUCAACUUGGGAACUGCAUCCGAUACUGGAUGGCUUGAAUUCGGGAGAGGGAUGCAGAAUUCCCGGUGUAGUGGUGAAAUGCGUAGAUAUCGGGAGGAACACCAGUGGCGAAGGCGACUUCCUGGCCUGUUCUUGACGCUGAGGCGCGAAAGCUAGGGGAGCAAACGGG